UGUCAUGGAGGCGCUCUCUUCA
This 22-nucleotide microRNA is filed under the name Caenorhabditis briggsae. RNAcentral's name for it is "cbr-miR-47". Its record names the gene cbr-miR-47. Lineage: Eukaryota; Metazoa; Nematoda; Chromadorea; Rhabditida; Rhabditidae. The record is from miRBase by way of RNAcentral. RNAcentral also lists the same sequence under 2 other names.